UUGCUUUAGCAGCAUGUAUACUAGAAUUAGAAUGAGAGACAGAGACGAUGGCAUGGCCCUUGUGCAAGGAUGACAUGCAAAUUUAUCCCAUGUUCCUUUUUUUU
Molecule: small nuclear RNA, 104 nt
Organism: Arvicanthis niloticus (Nile rat)
Lineage: Eukaryota; Metazoa; Chordata; Mammalia; Rodentia; Muridae
Source: RefSeq, a predicted model, not a curated record